RNAcentral lists this ribosomal RNA (854 nucleotides) under Erysiphe quercicola. RNAcentral's name for it is "eukaryotic LSU rRNA". It matches the Rfam family "Eukaryotic large subunit ribosomal RNA", at positions 95 to 963 of the family's 3401-position model. The record is from RNAcentral. Lineage: Eukaryota; Fungi; Ascomycota; Leotiomycetes; Helotiales; Erysiphaceae.
GAAGCGGUAACAGCUCAAAUUUGAAAUCUGGCUCUUGCGGAGUCCGAGUUGUAAUUUGUAGAAGAUGCUUUGGGUUGUGGGUUCGGCCUAAGUUCCUUGGAACAGGACGUCAUAGAGGGUGAGAAUCCCGUAUGUGGCCGAGGCCCGCGCCUAUGUAAAGCUCUUUCAACGAGUCGAGUUGUUUGGGAAUGCAGCUCAAAAUGGGUGGUAAAUUUCAUCUAAAGCUAAAUAUGGGCCAGAGACCGAUAGCGCACAAGUAGAGUGAUCGAAAGAUGAAAAGCACUUUGGAAAGAGAGUUAAACAGUACGUGAAAUUGUUGAAAGGGAAGCGCUUGCAACCAGACUUGGGCGCUGCCGAUCACCUUGAGUUUUCUCGAGUGCACUCGACAGCGCACAGGCCAGCAUCGGUUCGGGUGGCUGGAUAAAGGCCGUAGGAAUGUGGCUCUCUUCGGGGAGUGUUAUAGCCUACGGUGCCAUGCAGCCCAGCCGGACCGAGGACCGCGCCUUCGGGCUAGGAUGCUGGCGUAAUGGUUGUAAGCGACCCGUCUUGAAACACGGACCAAGGAGUCUAACAUCUAUGCGAGUGUUUGGGUGGUAAACCCAUACGCGGAAUGAAAGUGAACGUAGGUGAGAACCCCUUUGGGGCGCAUCAUCGACCGAUCCUGAUGUCUUCGGAUGGAUUUGAGUAAGAGCAUAGCUGUUGGGACCCGAAAGAUGGUGAACUAUGCCUGAAUAGGGUGAAGCCAGAGGAAACUCUGGUGGAGGCUCGCAGCGGUUCUGACGUGCAAAUCGAUCGUCAAAUUUGGGCAUAGGGGCGAAAGACUAAUCGAACCAUCUAGUAGCUGGUUCCUGCGA